GGGAGCUUAGAUGUGGAAGCUCUUUGGAAACCAAGAAACACUCUGAAAAUGAAAAGGAUACCAACUUCAUCUCUCUUUAAGAAUACAAUAUUAGUUUAAAAGAUUGUUCAACUUAAAGCAAUCUUGUAGAGAUUGUCACCCAUGAUUGAUGCUGGCAUAAGAAUGUUUAUCACAGCAUGGCAUAUAUUGGAAGUUUAGUAAAUGAAGAUACAUCCAAUCUGACAUUCUAUUCACAACCACAAAGAGAUAAUGUAGAAACAUAUUUAGUAAUGUGAGAAAAUACUAAAUAUUAAGUGAAAAAGGUGGAAGAGUAAACUGUUCCUGUUUCUCCAUCUUGACAGGAAGCAGAAGUUCUCCUUAGCUGAUUUUUCUUCUUGCCUUAUACUGGGUUCUUUAACACCAGAACAAAAAUAAAUAAAUAAAAGAAUCUUCCAGAAAUUCAUGAAGAGACUUCAGGUCAGGAAAGCCUGAACUUUCUCAUCCAACACCCGUUCAAGUCGGAGGAUGCUGAUUAAUUCAUGAUGGAAAGGUAUCAAUUUCACAGCCCAGACCUCUACAUUCUUGAAAUGCUCUUCUCAUGGGAGACAUUAAAUAAGCUUUGAAUUAACUGAGACCUCUGUGGAUUCUAUAACUCAAAGACCCAGGCUGACGGCUGGUGGAAUAGCUACCAUCUCAAACAUGGCGUGAUGCUGCAUCAGAGAGAAAAAUAAGCUCUUGCAUUGACAAUGAAAUGUCUACCCUGUAGUGACUUGUGCUUACUUCCACUCACAAGUGAUUGCCCAGAGCUACUUACCUGGCUCCAAUCUACCACUGGUGCCAUGACACCCAGGAUGCAGCUGUAGGAACACCACUGGGUCCCUGGAUGUCAUGUAAGCCCUUAAG
RNAcentral lists this long non-coding RNA (882 nucleotides) under Homo sapiens (human). RNAcentral's name for it is "SATB1 antisense RNA 1". The record is from RNAcentral. Lineage: Eukaryota; Metazoa; Chordata; Mammalia; Primates; Hominidae.